Molecule: non-coding RNA, 280 nt
Organism: Paramuricea clavata
Lineage: Eukaryota; Metazoa; Cnidaria; Anthozoa; Malacalcyonacea; Plexauridae
Source: the annotation of a GenBank genome assembly
AUUCAAUUAGUAUUUUGCACAAGUGAAUAUAACAAAUCCUACAAGUUGAUUGGUCAAAUUUGACGUAUUAAGCUGUUUUAGUAUAAUUACAUAGGAGAUUAUUGAAAAUUCUCCACGCUGAUUGGUUGCCGUUGAGGUGAUUAUAACGCGUUAAUCACCUAAGCGAUUCUCAAAAUGGCGGACGAAGCCGUUUUGCCAAUAAAAUGACGAAGAAAUGUGUAUUUUUUAUUUUUUUCCACAUAAUCACCUAUGAAAUUAUACUAAAACAAUUAUUCACCUC